This 156-nucleotide non-coding RNA is filed under the name bovine gut metagenome. RNAcentral's name for it is "Lysine riboswitch". It matches the Rfam family "Lysine riboswitch aptamer". Rfam says of the family: Riboswitches are metabolite binding domains within certain messenger RNAs that serve as precision sensors for their corresponding targets. Allosteric rearrangement of mRNA structure is mediated by ligand binding, and this results in modulation of gene expression. This family includes riboswitches that sense lysine in a number of genes involved in lysine metabolism, including lysC. The record is from RNAcentral.
CGAUAGAGGUCGCGGAGAUUAAGAGUACCAGUCUGCUAAAGGGAAACGAGGACUGCGAAAGGAUGAUCCGCCGAAGCAUAUCAGAUGCCCAAGUCUGAUUUGCUGGGACGAUGUAAUAAGAUGCAUCGGACUGUCACGCAAGUGGAGAGCUAUCAU